AUUCUCCUGCGGGUUUUUCUGGGUUUUAAGACAGGGUCUCACUCUGUAGCCCAGACUGGCCUUGAAGCCGUUGUGUGGCUCAGGCUGGACUCGAACUCUUAGCAAUCCUUCUGCCUCUGGCUCAUGCGUGUUGGCUAGUCCAUUUAACUGCUCCUCCACUGUCGUUCUCUGCAGUAUUUGGCUGAUCUGCAACUUUCUCUUGCUCUCUGAGGCCACCCUGGAGGACCCCAACCCCAAACAUGGCAGAUGGGAAGGAUCAGCCAGGUUUAAGAGUUUUGCUGUAUACCCUUGGCUGGCCUCAAACUCACAGACCAAAGGUGUGUGCCACCAUGCCUGGCCAUACGAAUUUUUUUCCUUGGGUUCCAGGGAUGGAAUUCAGGUCCUUGUGUUUGUACUCAUCUGUCUUGUUUCCGCUGCUUUGGAUGCUUCAGACUAGCCACGAGCACGGUUCUUGAUGGUGUGCAACCCUACCACGCUGUGUAGUCCAUCGAGCCAGUGAGUCUAAAUCCAAGAGAUCUGCUGGUCUCUGUUCUCCAGUGUGUGUGUGUGUGUGUGUGUGUGUGUGUGUGUGUGUGUGUGUGUGGUGUGUGUGUAUGUGAGAGAGGGUUAGGAAAAAGGCUAAGCAAAGGAGAUUAGAUUUAAGGUUCUUGUUUAAAAAAAAGAAAAGAAAAAGACAAUUACUAGUUUUAAAUACUUUACAUUGGAUUGGAUUGUUUUAUAUUGUAUACAAAUUAUAUAUAUUGAAAUUGAUAUUGUUAGAAAAUGCUAUAUGUAUAUUUCUAAUUGUACUUAUAUCGUUCAUUUAACAAUGUAAUGCAAUUUUCUGAUCCUUGAAUGUUAUUAUUACCAACUAUUAGGAUAUAAAGAAAUGAAAGUUAGUAGUUAGACAUUAUAAUAGAACUUGUAGUCAUAUUAGGUAUGUUUUAAAAAUUGACCAGAUACAUUUUAGAUAGACAGGUCAUCUUCAAACCGUUCAGAGAUCUACAGAAUAUGGCAUUUAAAAUGUUUUAAUAACUUAGAAAAUGUUUCUUUUUUGUUAUGACUAUGAGACAUGUCGACUCCUGGCAGUACCAAUCUACUUCAGAGAAAAUAUGGGCAUUGAAGAAACUGCAUAUGGAGUUAACUUUCAUUGUGGCAAAAGUUAGCCACUGGAAUCAACAGGACAAAAUGGACAGACAGGACACGAAACAAAGGACUACUGAUUCUUGCCAAAACAAGUGUGGUUAUGGCUUUAUCAAAAGACAUCUUCUGAGGCCAGGACAAUAUGGCACCAUCCCUGAAGUGGCCUUUGCAAUCCGGAAAAGGUACAGUGCCCUUCUCUUUGAAGGCAGCUAAACAGGCAGUGGGCCGAUGGCUUCUGAUGUGCAAUGGAACAACAGCUCAAACAGUUAUUCUUGAAGAGUAACUAAGCUCACGCCUCUCAAUAGUAGACUGGCAUUUGAUGGAGGGAUAUGGAGAAGAAUGGGAUGCUGAGAUGAAGCCGCGUAUACACAGCCAAGAAGAAUGGACAGCUGAAUUAAAAAAACAUCAACAAUUUCCAGAAUUUAAAAUCCUGAAUCAUAGCCGGGCGGUGGUGGCGCACGCCUUUAAUCCCAGCACUCGGGAGGCAGAGCCAGGCGGAUCUCUGUGAGUUCGAGGCCAGCCUGGGCUACCAAGUGAGUUCUAGGAAAAGGCGCAAAGCUACACAGAGAAACCCUGUCUCAAAAAACAAAAAAAACAAACAAACAAACAAAAAAAUCCUGAAUCAUGACAGAACACUAGUGGAAUUCAGGUGUUUCUGGUACAUGGACUGCUCUCACCCAAUGUGAGGUUGAACUGUUGACCUUGUUUACAUUCUACUUCACAAAUGAGUCUGUCAGAUACGCAAAGCCUAUAGACUGAAGAUGAUGCCCCAACAUUUCGGAGAAACCUCAGAUGAUUGUCCAGGCAGCUGGCUGUUUCUGUCAACUCACAAAUUUUUUUGGAAGUUGCUUGCACGCACUUCCUGUUUUUAUUUUUUAUUAGGUAAUAUUAUUUUCCUUCUUGGAUCUCUGAGGAAGUUGAAGAUUAGUUAGUUAUAGUUGAAGGCUAGUUAGGAUAAAAAGUGAAUUAGGUACAUUUUGGACUUACCAAAAUAGGAUAGAUAAUGGAAUUAUUUUCUCUGAAUUUGUCAAAUACAAAUGGACUAGACAUUGUUUAGGUAUUUAUUACUUGUAUAUAUUGCAUAUAGUUAUUGCACUUUUGUAUAUAGUUUUUCUUAUGUUAGUUAUAACCUUUUUCCUUUUUUCUUUUUAUUAAAAUAGAAAAGGGGAAAUAUGGUGGUAUUUUAUUUGUACUGAAAUGUGAUUUUAAUUGUAUGUUAAUAAAUAAAGUUGCCCGGGGGUCAGAGCUAUUAGAACCAUAGCAAAAGCUGGGCGUUGGUGGUGCACGCCUUUAAUCCCAGCACUUGGUAGGCAGAGCUAGGUAGAUCUCUGUGUGUUCAAGGAUACAGCCAGCAUUGGAGACACAUGCCUUUAAUCUCAAUACCAACCAUAGAAGACCUGGAGGUCUAUACAGAUAGGCAGUGACGAGGUAGUCAUGUGGUUGGUUUUACAACCAAUGAGAAGGCAGAACAGAAAGUCUAUAUAAAGACAAACAGACAGGAAGUAGGUCUCUUUCGGAGAGGUCUCUUGGCUGAAGAGGCUAGCUGCAGCAGGCAGGUAAGGCUCUUAGCUCUGAUCUCUUGGCUUUCAUCUUUGCA
This is a long non-coding RNA of Peromyscus californicus insignis, 2719 nucleotides long. RefSeq lists it as uncharacterized. The transcript is spliced from 4 exons. The record is from RefSeq and is a predicted model, not a curated record. NCBI's taxonomy places the organism in Eukaryota, Metazoa, Chordata, Mammalia, Rodentia, Cricetidae.